This 497-nucleotide ribosomal RNA is filed under the name uncultured bacterium. Its description in RNAcentral is "partial 16S ribosomal RNA". It matches the Rfam family "Bacterial small subunit ribosomal RNA", at positions 28 to 507 of the family's 1533-position model. The record is from RNAcentral.
GAUGAACGCUGGCGGCGUGCCUAAUACAUGCAAGUCGAGCGAACAGACGAGGAGCUUGCUCCUCUGACGUUAGCGGCGGACGGGUGAGUAACACGUGGAUAACCUACCUAUAAGACUGGGAUAACUUCGGGAAACCGGAGCUAAUACCGGAUAAUAUAUUGAACCGCAUGGUUCAAUAGUGAAAGACGGUUUUGCUGUCACUUAUAGAUGGAUCCGCGCCGCAUUAGCUAGUUGGUAAGGUAACGGCUUACCAAGGCAACGAUGCGUAGCCGACCUGAGAGGGUGAUCGGCCACACUGGAACUGAGACACGGUCAAGACUCCUACGGGAGGCAGCAGUAGGGAAUCUUCCGCAACGGGCGAAAGCAUGACGGAGCAACGCCGCGUGAGUGAUGAAGGUCUUCGGAUCGUAAAACUCUGUUAUGAGGGAAGAACAAAUGUGUAAGUAACUAUGCACGUCUUGACGGUACCUAAUCAGAAAGCCACGGCUAACUACGUG